This 447-nucleotide ribosomal RNA is filed under the name uncultured bacterium. Its description in RNAcentral is "bacterial SSU rRNA". It matches the Rfam family "Bacterial small subunit ribosomal RNA", at positions 330 to 794 of the family's 1533-position model. The record is from RNAcentral.
GCCAGACUCCUACGGGAGGCAGCAGUGGGGAAUAUUGCACAAUGGGGGAAACCCUGAUGCAGCGACGUCGCGUGAGUGAAGAAGUCAUUCGUGAUGUAAAGCUCUAUCAGCAGGGAAGAAAAUGACGGUACCUGACCAAGAAGCCCCGGCUAACUACGUGCCAGCAGCCGCGGUAAUACGUAGGGGGCAAGCGUUAUCCGGAUUUACUGGGUGUAAAGGGAGCGUAGACGGCAGCACAAGUCUGGAGUGAAAUGCCGGGGCUUAACCCCGGAACUGCUUUGGAAACUGUGCAGCUAGAGUGCAGGAGAGGUAAGUGGAAUUCCUAGUGUAGCGGUGAAAUGCGUAGAUAUUAGGAGGAACACCAGUGGCGAAGGCGACUUUCUGGACUGUACCUGACGCUGAGGCGCGAAAGCGUGGGUAGCGAACGGGAUUAGAUACCCCAGUACA